GACGAACCGUGCGAACGUUGUUCGGAAUCACUGGGCUUAAAGGGCGCGUAGGUGGUCUGUCAAGUCAAGGGUGAAAUCUUUCGGCUCAACCGGAAAACUGCCUUCGAUACUGGCAGGCUAGAGGGAGAUAGGGGUUGCGGGAACUACCAGUGGAGCGGUGAAAUGCGUAGAUAUCGGAAUGAACGCCGGUGGCGAAGGCGGCGAUCUGGGCAGAUACUGACGCUGAGGUGCGAAAGCGUGGGGAGCAAACAGG
This 253-nucleotide ribosomal RNA is filed under the name uncultured bacterium. Its description in RNAcentral is "partial 16S ribosomal RNA". It matches the Rfam family "Bacterial small subunit ribosomal RNA", at positions 524 to 776 of the family's 1533-position model. The record is from RNAcentral.